Phyllostomus discolor (pale spear-nosed bat) is the source of this 275-nucleotide long non-coding RNA. RefSeq lists it as uncharacterized. The transcript is spliced from 3 exons. The record is from RefSeq and is a predicted model, not a curated record. Lineage: Eukaryota; Metazoa; Chordata; Mammalia; Chiroptera; Phyllostomidae.
UACAAAUAAAUUUAUCUGUUUUAUUUAUUUUUAGAGAAGGGGAAGGGAGGGAGAAAGCGAGGGAGAGAAACGCGGAUGUGCGAGAGACACAGGGAUCAGCUGUCCCGCGCACACCCCCAGCUGGGGACCUGCAGGGCCCGCAACCCAGUCGGCCCGGCGACCUGUGGGUGUGCAGACUGGCCCCCAAUCCACUGAGCCAUGCCAGCCAGGGCCAGAAAUACGUUUGAUGACUAAAGUCAAAGUAUGAUAUGAAAUAAAGACCAAGCGAGAUAACA